RNAcentral lists this unclassified non-coding RNA (410 nucleotides) under soil metagenome. RNAcentral describes it as "partial contains 5.8S ribosomal RNA, internal transcribed spacer 2, and large subunit ribosomal RNA". The stretch from base 1 to 117 matches the Rfam family "5.8S ribosomal RNA", at positions 38 to 154 of the family's 154-position model. The record is from RNAcentral.
GAUAAACGCAGCGAAAUGCGAUAAGUAAUGUGAAUUGCAGAAUUCAGUGAAUCAUCGAAUCUUUGAACGCACCUUGCGCUCUUUGGUAUUCCGAAGAGCAUGCCUGUUUGAGUGUCAUGAAAAUAUCAACCUUGACUUGGGUUUUGUGCUCUAGUCUCGGCUUGGAAUUGGGUGCUUGCCGCUUUUACGAGCGGCUCACCUUAAAUGUAUUAGCUGGAUCUGUCUUUGAGACUUGGUUUGACUUGGCGUAAUAAGUAUUUCGCUAAGGACAUUCUUCGGAGUGGCCUCGUUUCUAGGACGCUUGUCCGCUUUCCAAUACAAGUUCCACCUCGUGGACAUGACUUUUUAUUAUCUGGCCUCAAAUCAGGUAGGACUACCCGCUGAACUUAAGCAUAUCAAUAAGCGGAGGA